UGAGGAAUAUUGGUCAAUGGACGAGAGUCUGAACCAGCCAAGUAGCGUGAAGGAUGACUGCCCUAUGGGUUGUAAACUUCUUUUAUAUGGGAAUAAAGUAUUCCACGUGUGGGAUUUUGUAUGUACCAUAUGAAUAAGGAUCGGCUAACUCCGUGCCAGCAGCCGCGGUAAUACGGAGGAUCCGAGCGUUAUCCGGAUUUAUUGGGUUUAAAGGGAGCGUAGGUGGAUUGUUAAGUCAGUUGUGAAAGUUUGCGGCUCAACCGUAAAAUUGCAGUUGAAACUGGCAGUCUUGAGUACAGUAGAGGUGGGCGGAAUUCGUGGUGUAGCGGUGAAAUGCUUAGAUAUCACGAAGAACUCCGAUUGCGAAGGCAGCUCACUAGACUGCAACUGACACUGAUGCUCGAAAGUGUGGGUAUCAAACAGGAUUAGAUACCCUGGUAGUCCACACAGUAAACGAUGAAUACUCGCUGUUUGCGAUAUACAGUAAGCGGCCAAGCGAAAGCAUUAAGUAUUCCACCUGGGGAGUACGCCGGCAACGGUGAAACUCAAAGGAAUUGACGGGGGCCCGCACAAGCGGAGGAACAUGUGGUUUAAUUCGAUGAUACGCGAGGAACCUUACCCGGGCUUAAAUUGCAAAUGAAUAAUCUGGAAACAGGUUAGCCGCAAGGCAUUUGUGAAGGUGCUGCAUGGUUGUCGUCAGCUCGUGCCGUGAGGUGUCGGCUUAAGUGCCAUAACGAGCGCAACCCUUAUCUUUAGUUACUAACAGGUCAUGCUGAGGACUCUAGAGAGACUGCCGUCGUAAGAUGUGAGGAAGGUGGGGAUGACGUCAAAUCAGCACGGCCCUUACGUCCGGGGCUACACACGUGUUACAAUGGGAGGUACAGAAGGCAGCUACCUGACGACAGGAUGCUAAUCCCAAAAACCUCUCUCAGUUCGGAUCGAAGUCUGCAACCCGACUUCGUGAAGCUGGAUUCGCUAGUAAUCGCGCAUCAGCCAUGGCGCGGUGAAUACGUUCCC
Molecule: ribosomal RNA, 1017 nt
Filed under: uncultured bacterium
Lineage: Bacteria
Description: bacterial SSU rRNA
Rfam family: Bacterial small subunit ribosomal RNA
Source: RNAcentral